GAUAUAGCGCAGUGGUUAGUACGACUGCCUUUGAUGCAGAAGGUUCCGGGUUCAACCCCGGUGGGUCA
Non-coding RNA from Phthorimaea operculella (potato tuberworm), 68 nucleotides. The record is from the annotation of a GenBank genome assembly. Lineage: Eukaryota; Metazoa; Arthropoda; Insecta; Lepidoptera; Gelechiidae.